CAAAAUGUAGCUUACUUCUAAAGCACCUAGUUUACACCUAGGAGACUUCAACCCACAAUUGGACAUUUUGAAA
RNAcentral lists this transfer RNA (73 nucleotides) under Vespertilio murinus (particolored bat). RNAcentral's name for it is "tRNA-Val". It matches the Rfam family "tRNA". Rfam says of the family: Transfer RNA (tRNA) molecules are approximately 80 nucleotides in length. Their secondary structure includes four short double-helical elements and three loops (D, anti-codon, and T loops). Further hydrogen bonds mediate the characteristic L-shaped molecular structure. tRNAs have two regions of fundamental functional importance: the anti-codon, which is responsible for specific mRNA codon recognition, and the 3' end, to which the tRNAs corresponding amino acid is attached (by aminoacyl-tRNA synthetases). tRNAs cope with the degeneracy of the genetic code in two manners: having more than one tRNA (with a specific anti-codon) for a particular amino acid; and 'wobble' base-pairing, i.e. permitting non-standard base-pairing at the 3rd anti-codon position. Lineage: Eukaryota; Metazoa; Chordata; Mammalia; Chiroptera; Vespertilionidae. The record is from RNAcentral.